Molecule: ribosomal RNA, 127 nt
Filed under: Microtus ochrogaster (prairie vole)
Lineage: Eukaryota; Metazoa; Chordata; Mammalia; Rodentia; Cricetidae
Source: RNAcentral
GUCCAUGGCCAUAUCACCCUGAAUGUGCCCAAUAUUGUCUGAUCUUAGAGGCUAAGCAUUGGUUGGGCCUAGUUAGUACUCGGAUGGGAGUUAUCAUUACAACUAAUCAAGUAUUUGUGCCAGAACC